RNAcentral lists this ribosomal RNA (408 nucleotides) under uncultured bacterium. RNAcentral describes it as "partial 16S ribosomal RNA". It matches the Rfam family "Bacterial small subunit ribosomal RNA", at positions 28 to 526 of the family's 1533-position model. The record is from RNAcentral.
GACGAACGCUGGCGGCGUGCCUAAUACAUGCAAGUCGAGCGAAGCGGCGGAUGGGUGAGUAACGCGUGGGUAACCUGCCCUUAAGUCUGGGAUACCAUUUGGAAACAGAUGCUAAUACCGGAUACUAAAGGAUGGACCUGCGAUGCAUUAGCUAGUUGGUAAGGUAACGGCUUACCAAGGCGAUGAUGCAUAGCAGAGUUGGUAGGAUGAUGGGCCACAUUGGGAAUGAGAAACGGCCCGAAUCCCGACGGGAGGCGGCAGUAGGGAAUCUUCCACAAUGGAGGAAAGUCUUAUGGAGCAAGGCCGCGUGAGGGAAGAAGGUUUUCGUAUCGGAAAGCUCUGUUGUUGGUGAAGCGGUAAUCAACCAUAAAGUCACGGCUAACUACGUGCCAGCAGCCGAGGUAAUUC